Molecule: transfer RNA, 59 nt
Filed under: Spinolyprops cribricollis
Lineage: Eukaryota; Metazoa; Arthropoda; Insecta; Coleoptera; Tenebrionidae
Description: tRNA-Ser
Source: RNAcentral
GAAAUAUUUAUAAAUCUAAGCUUCUAACUUAGAAAAAAGCAUUCAAUGUUUAUAUUUCU